GUACUGCUGAAGACUCUCAAACUAGGACGAAACAGCUGUCCAGUAC
This 46-nucleotide non-coding RNA is filed under the name Trichobilharzia regenti. Lineage: Eukaryota; Metazoa; Platyhelminthes; Trematoda; Strigeidida; Schistosomatidae. The record is from RNAcentral.